RNAcentral lists this microRNA precursor (63 nucleotides) under Drosophila mojavensis. Its description in RNAcentral is "Dmo-Novel-1_pre stem-loop". Lineage: Eukaryota; Metazoa; Arthropoda; Insecta; Diptera; Drosophilidae. The record is from RNAcentral.
UCUGCACGGUGGCUCUUUUAAAAGUUUUUUAUAUAUACUGUUAAAAUGGCCGUCAUGCAAAAU